CGCUGGCGGCAGGCUUAACACAUGCAAGUCGAGCGGGCGUAGCAAUACGUCAGCGGCAGACGGGUGAGUAACGCGUGGGAACAUACCUUUUGGUACGGAACAACACAGGGAAACUUGUGCUAAUACCGGAUAAGCCCUUACGGGGAAAGAUUUAUCGCCGAAAGAUUGGCCCGCGUCUGAUUAGCUAGUUGGUGAGGUAACGGCUCACCAAGGCGACGAUCAGUAGCUGGUCUGAGAGGAUGAUCAGCCACAUUGGGACUGAGACACGGCCCAAACUCCUACGGGAGGCAGCAGUGGGGAAUAUUGGACAAUGGGCGCAAGCCUGAUCCAGCCAUGCCGCGUGAGUGAUGAAGGCCCUAGGGUUGUAAAGCUCUUUUGUGCGGGAAGAUAAUGACGGUACCGCAAGAAUAAGCCCCGGCUAACUUCGUGCCAGCAGCCGCGGUAAUACGAAGGGGGCUAGCGUUGCUCGGAACCACUGGGCGUAAAGGGUGCGUAGGCGGGUCUUUAAGUCAGGGGUGAAAUCCUGGAGCUCAACUCCAGAACUGCCUUUGAUACUGAGGGUCUUGAGUUCGGGAGAGGUGAGUGGAACUGCGAGUGUAGAGGUGAAAUUCGUAGAUAUUCGCAAGAACACCAGUGGCGAAGGCGGCUCACUGGCCCGAUACUGACGCUGAGGCACGAAAGCGU
Molecule: ribosomal RNA, 684 nt
Filed under: uncultured soil bacterium
Lineage: Bacteria
Description: bacterial SSU rRNA
Rfam family: Bacterial small subunit ribosomal RNA
Source: RNAcentral